RNAcentral lists this ribosomal RNA (295 nucleotides) under Cyclobacteriaceae bacterium. Its description in RNAcentral is "partial 23S ribosomal RNA". It matches the Rfam family "Bacterial large subunit ribosomal RNA", at positions 2619 to 2925 of the family's 2925-position model. The record is from RNAcentral. Lineage: Bacteria; Pseudomonadati; Bacteroidota; Cytophagia; Cytophagales; Cyclobacteriaceae.
UCGUGAGACAGUUCGGUCCCUAUCUGUUGUGGGCGUGGGAAGUUUGAGAGGAUCUGGCCUUAGUACGAGAGGACCGGGUUGGACCAACCUCUGGUGUACCGGUUGUAGCGCCAGCUGCACGGCCGGGUAGCCACGUUGGGAGCGGAUAAGCGCUGAAAGCAUCUAAGCGCGAACCCCACCUCGAGAUGAGACUUCCAUACAAGGGGCGUUGGAGACGACAACGUAGAUAGGCUGCAGGUGUAAAGGCAGAGAUGCCAAAGCCGAGCAGUACUAAUUGCCCAAUGGCUUCGGGCGC